UACGGAGGGGGCUAGCGUUGUUCGGAAUUACUGGGCGUAAAGCGCGCGUAGGCGGACCUGCAAGUCGGGGGUGAAAGCCCGAGGCUCAACCUCGGAACUGCCUUCGAUACUGCGGGUCUCGAGUCCGGGAGAGGUGAGUGGAAUUCCUAGUGUAGAGGUGAAAUUCGUAGAUAUUAGGAAGAACACCAAUAGCGAAGGCAGCUCGCUGGGACGGUACUGACGCUAAGGCGCGAAAGCGUGGGGAGCGAACAGG
RNAcentral lists this ribosomal RNA (253 nucleotides) under uncultured bacterium. RNAcentral's name for it is "partial 16S ribosomal RNA". It matches the Rfam family "Bacterial small subunit ribosomal RNA", at positions 524 to 776 of the family's 1533-position model. The record is from RNAcentral.